GAUGAACGCUGGCGGCGUGCCUAAUACAUGCAAGUCGAGCGAACGGACGAGAAGCUUGCUUCUCUGAUGUUAGCGGCGGACGGGUGAGUAACACGUGGAUAACCUACCUAUAAGACUGGGAUAACUUCGUGAAACCGUAGCUAAUACCGGAUAAUAUUUUGAACCGCAUGGUUCAAAAGUGAAAGACGGUCUUGCUGUCACUUAUAGAUGGAUCCGCGCUGCAUUAGCUAGUUGGUAAGGUAACGGCUUACCAAGGCAACGAUGCAUAGCCGACCUGAGAGGGUGAUCGGCCACACUGGAACUGAGACACGGUCCAGACUCCUACGGGAGGCAGCAGUAGGGAAUAUUCCGCAAUGGGCGAAAGCCUGACGGAGCAACGCCGCGUGAGUGAUGAAGGUCUUCGGAUCGUAAAACUCUGUUAUUAGGGAAGAACAUAUGUGUAAGUAACUGUGCACAUCUUGACGGUACCUAAUCAGAAAGCCACGGCUAACUACGUG
This 497-nucleotide ribosomal RNA is filed under the name uncultured bacterium. Its description in RNAcentral is "partial 16S ribosomal RNA". It matches the Rfam family "Bacterial small subunit ribosomal RNA", at positions 28 to 507 of the family's 1533-position model. The record is from RNAcentral.